Molecule: unclassified non-coding RNA, 405 nt
Filed under: soil metagenome
Description: partial contains 5.8S ribosomal RNA, internal transcribed spacer 2, and large subunit ribosomal RNA
Rfam family: 5.8S ribosomal RNA (bases 1-121)
Source: RNAcentral
GAUGAAGAACGUAGCGAAAUGCGAUAAGUAAUGUGAAUUGCAGAAUUCAGUGAAUCAUCGAAUCUUUGAACGCACCUUGCGCCCUUUGGCCAUUCCGAAGGGCAUGCCUGUUUGAGUAUCAUGAACACCUCAACUCUUUAUGGUUUUCCAUGAUGAGCUUGGACUCUGGGGGUUUUGCUGGCUCACAGUCGGCUCCUCUAAAAUGAAUCAGCUUACCAGUGUUUGGUGGGUAUCAUGGGUGUGAUAACUAUCUACGCUUGUGGUUUUUCCACCAGGUAACCUUCAGCAGUGGAGGUUCGGUGGAGCUCAUAGAUGUCUCUCCUCAGUGAGGACAGCCCUUUGAAUGUUUGAUCUCAAAUCAGGUAGGACUACCCGCUGAACUUAAGCAUAUCAAUAAGCGGAGGA